Molecule: transfer RNA, 84 nt
Organism: Colletotrichum gloeosporioides Cg-14
Lineage: Eukaryota; Fungi; Ascomycota; Sordariomycetes; Glomerellales; Glomerellaceae
Rfam family: tRNA
About the family: Transfer RNA (tRNA) molecules are approximately 80 nucleotides in length.
Source: Rfam
GGCCGGUUGGCCCAAUGGCAAGGCGUCUGACUACGAUUCAAUCGUGACAUCAGGAGAUUCUGGGUUCGACCCCCAGGCUGGUCA